Molecule: ribosomal RNA, 497 nt
Filed under: uncultured bacterium
Lineage: Bacteria
Description: partial 16S ribosomal RNA
Rfam family: Bacterial small subunit ribosomal RNA
Source: RNAcentral
GAUGAACGCUGGCGGCGUGCCUAAUACAUGCAAGUCGAGCGAACAGACGAGGAGCUUGCUCCUCUGACGUUAGUGGCGGACGGGUGAGUAACACGUGGAUAACCUACCUAUAAGACUGGGAUAACUUCGGGAAACCGGAGCUAAUACCGGAUAAUAUAUUGAACCGCAUGGUUCAAUAGUGAAAGACGGUUUUGCUGUCACUUAUAGAUGGAUCCGCGCCGCAUUAGCUAGUUGGUAAGGUAACGGCUUACCAAGGCAACGAUGCGUAGCCGACCUGAGAGGGUGAUCGGCCACACUGGAACUGAGACACGGUCCAGACUCCUACGGGAGGCAGCAGUAGGGAAUCUUCCGCAAUGGGCGAAAGCCUGACGGAGCAAAGCCGCGUGAGUGAUGAAGGUCUUCGGAUCGUAAAACUCUGUUAUUAGGGAAGAACAAAUGUGUAAGUAACUAUGCACGUCUUGACGGUACCUAAUCAGAAAGCCACGGCUAACUACGUG